Spea bombifrons (plains spadefoot toad) is the source of this 1608-nucleotide long non-coding RNA. RefSeq lists it as uncharacterized. NCBI's taxonomy places the organism in Eukaryota, Metazoa, Chordata, Amphibia, Anura, Pelobatidae. The transcript has 2 exons. The record is from RefSeq and is a predicted model, not a curated record.
AGCGUUUUUUUGUUUACCUGGCGAGUUCGCCCGGCAUUAUCGCUGUCACUUUUUAAUCUCAGCCCGAGCCGAAGGAAUUCAGAAUGAGAAAUGAGACUGUCAUUAAGAGCUUGAACCCUUUCCAAGAGAUUAUAUCACAGCAGGAACUGCCAGAGAUAUUUAACGUUGCAACACAGCAGAAAAAACACAAUCGCUCUGUUCCUUCGUCAACCAAGGCGCUCGUUACGCUCGUUUUUUUUUUAACGAACGGGGGUGUUUUAAGACGGAAAGUGAUUUUUUUGGCUGGUAUUUUUGAACGUUUGUGGUUUAAGAACAUCGUUCACGAUCAUGUCGAGAGAUUGGAAGAAAGAAGAUGAAACAACGGGAUCCAGAGAACAGGAGAACCGGAGAAUUUUCAGUCCCUAAGAAGGAAAUAUGGGGGCAGUACUGGAACUGUGGGCUAUUUUCCUUGUUAUCCUGGCCACGGUGUUCAUAAUGUCCUUCCUGAUGCUGUUCCCCGCUGGAGUUGUUAUCAUAUGGAGGAAAAAACGAAUGCCGGACAUCACCAUAACGGGAACUGUUUAAUGGAACACGAUGGACCAUUCCAGAGACCUUGAUGGACUUAAACCCAAGACAAGCCCCCAAAGGGGGGGCAGUAAGAGAAAGAAGGAUGUUCUUCCGUUUCACGAAUUUAAGGAUUAUAGAGAUGCUCUAUGGCCAAAAUGGAAGCAGCCCUAGAUAAUCUGGCAUGGCUGGACUCCAUAGACCUUGAAGCUCUAAUGGCCUCCUAAUUCCAUGAUCCUGCAGGACCAGCCAGUUAACAAAACCAGUGGUUACUACACUAACUAUGGCUUCAGACUAAGGAGUUCCACACCUCACUGUUAGACAUGUAGGUUUCUAUUAAAUUUCAGACUUUUCUAGUAGGCUGUAUGCAUUAUUUUUGUUGCCAUGCCUUCUAGCCCGGGUUCACAAGGCAUCUGGAGACAUCCGACUCCAGAUACUCAACAUAAUGGUCCAUCAGAGUACAAUUUCACCCACCGUCUGGAACACAAGACCUCCUUAUUCCAUCAACUAAAUGAUAAAUAAAUGUAUAAGGGACAUCCAAGACGCCUACUCUUGGCCACUACUUUUGGCUUCUUGUAAGCCCACACCAUACAUCAAACAGAUGUAGGAUCGCUUGACCAUGAAUAGCUUGUUGGUUCUUCUGCUACUCUACGUCAUCACAUAACUCGUACAGAUAGCCUGUUGUUUAGGAUGUAACGCAGAAACUUGACAUUUGAGCACAUCGACAGUGUGGGCACCUGAUUUGAUGGUAUUAUUCACAUUUAUUGUCUUUGCUCCGUGAUGAUCUGUGAUUGGAUGAUAGUCUCAAGAGCACCUCACCAUAUAAAAUACUCUGAUCGACCUGCCCUCGUCUGGUAAUAACACGUGAGCUUGAAGACUAACGAUAAAAACGUUAUAAACGUAUAUAAAAGUAUUAGACAUCUUUUGAGGGAAGCGCUUGUGUUGUAUUCUCCAGGUCCCCUGAGGACCCAAACAAGCAGUAAUCUAAAAGUAUAGAGCAGAAACAUUAAUUUUUUUUUUCUAAAAAUGAUAUGUAAAGGUAUAGAUCAAAUAUUAUUUCGCUGG